This 501-nucleotide ribosomal RNA is filed under the name uncultured bacterium. RNAcentral describes it as "partial 16S ribosomal RNA". It matches the Rfam family "Bacterial small subunit ribosomal RNA", at positions 30 to 523 of the family's 1533-position model. The record is from RNAcentral.
AUUGAACGCUGGCGGCAGGCUUAACACAUGCAAGUCGAGCGGGGGAAGGUAGCUUGCUACUGGACCUAGCGGCGGACGGGUGAGUAAUGCUUAGGAAUCUGCCUAUUAGUGGGGGACAACAUCUCGAAAGGGAUGCUAAUACCGCAUACGUCCUACGGGAGAAAGCAGGGGAUCUUCGGACCUCGCGCUAAUAGAUGAGCCUAAGUCGGAUUAGCUAGUUGGUGGGGUAAAGGCCUACCAAGGCGACGAUCUGUAGCGGGUCUGAGAGGAUGAUCCGCCACACUGGGACUGAGACACGGCCCGGACUCCUACGGGAGGCAGCAGUGGGGAAUAUUGGACAAUGGGGGGAACCCUGAUCCAGCCAUGCCGCGUGUGUGAAGAAGGCCUUAUGGUUGUAAAGCACUUUAAGCGAGGAGGAGGCUACUUUAGUUAAUACCUAGAGAUAGUGGACGUUACUCGCAGAAUAAGCACCGGCUAACUCUGUGCCAGCAGCCGCCGUAA